GAUGAACGCUGGCGGUGUGCCUAACACAUGCAAGUCGAACGACCACACGAUGAGCUUUCUCCUUUGACGUUAGCGGCUGACGGGCGAGUAACACGUGGAUCACCUACUUAUAAUACUGGGAUAACUUCGUGAAACCGGAUCUACUACUACAUAAUACAUCCUACCGCAUGGUUCAAUAGUGCAAGACGCCUUUCCUGUUUCUUUUAGAUGGUUCCGGGUCGGAUUAGCUAGUUGGUAAGGUAACGGCUUACCAAGGCGACGAUGCGUAGCCGACCUGAGAGGAUGAUCGGCCACACUGGAACUGAGACACGGUCCAGACUCCUACGGGAGGCAGCAGUAGGGAAUCUUGCGCAAUGGGCGAAAGCCUGACGCAGCCAUACCGCGUGAGUGAUGAAGGUCUUCGGGUCGUAAAGCCCUGUUGUUGGGAAAGAAAAGAUGUAUGUGAAACUAUGGACGUCUUGACGGUACCCAAUCAGAAAGCAACGGCUAACUACGUG
RNAcentral lists this ribosomal RNA (497 nucleotides) under uncultured bacterium. Its description in RNAcentral is "partial 16S ribosomal RNA". It matches the Rfam family "Bacterial small subunit ribosomal RNA", at positions 28 to 507 of the family's 1533-position model. The record is from RNAcentral.